Molecule: ribosomal RNA, 806 nt
Filed under: Halomonas sp. SUBG004
Lineage: Bacteria; Pseudomonadati; Pseudomonadota; Gammaproteobacteria; Oceanospirillales; Halomonadaceae
Description: bacterial LSU rRNA
Rfam family: Bacterial large subunit ribosomal RNA
Source: RNAcentral
GACCCCUUCGGGUUAUAGGGUCAAGCAAUGAAGCGCACACGGUGGAUGCCUAGGCAGCCAGAGGCGAUGAAAGACGUGGUAGCCUGCGAUAAGGUUCGGUGAGGUGGCAAACGACCUGUGACCCGGACAUCUCUGAAUGGGGAAACCCACUCAUCACAAGAUGAGUAUCUUGCGCUGAAUCCAUAGGCGUAAGAGGCGAACCAGGGGAACUGAAACAUCUAAGUACCCUGAGGAAAAGAAAUCAACCGAGAUUCCCCUAGUAGCGGCGAGCGAACGGGGACCAGCCCUUAAGCGUGUGAAAGAUUAGGCGAACAGACUGGGAAGUCUGGCCAUAGCGGGUGAUAGCCCCGUAGUCGAAAAUCUGAUCACGUGAAAUCGAGUAGGUCGGGGCACGAGAAACCUUGACUGAAGACGGGGGGACCAUCCUCCAAGGCUAAAUACUCCUGGCUGACCGAUAGUGAACCAGUACCGUGAGGGAAAGGCGAAAAGAACCCCGGAGAGGGGAGUGAAAUAGAUCCUGAAACCGUGUGCGUACAAGCAGUAGGAGCCCACUUGUUGGGUGACUGCGUACCUUUUGUAUAAUGGGUCAGCGACUUAUAUUCAGUGGCGAGGUUAACCGUAUAGGGGAGCCGUAGGGAAACCGAGUCUUAACUGGGCGACACAGUCGCUGGAUAUAGACCCGAAACCGAGCGAUCUAUCCAUGAGCAGGGUGAAGGUUGAGUAACAUCAACUGGAGGCCCGAACCAGGAUCUGUUGAAAAAGAUUUGGAUGACUUGUGGAUCGGAGUGAAAGGCUAAUCAAGCUCG